CCUACGGGCGGCUGCAGUGGGGAAUAUUGGACAAUGGGCGAAAGCCUGAUCCAGCAAUACCGCGUGUGUGAAGAAGGCCUUAGGGUUGUAAAGCACUUUCAAUUGGAAGGAAAACCUCGAAGUUAAUACCUUCGAGUUUGACAUUACCUUUAGAAGAAGCACCGGCUAACUCCGUGCCAGCAGCCGCGGUAAUACGGAGGGUGCAAGCGUUAAUCGGAAUUACUGGGCGUAAAGCGUGCGUAGGCGGCUCGUUAAGUCAGAUGUGAAAGCCCUGGGCUCAACCUGGGAACUGCAUUUGAAACUGGCGAGCUAGAGUUUGAGAGAGGUAAGUGGAAUUUCAGGUGUAGCGGUGAAAUGCGUAGAGAUCUGAAGGAACACCAGUGGCGAAGGCGACUUACUGGCUUAAAACUGACGCUCAGGUACGAAAGCGUGGGUAGCAAACAGGAUUAGAUACCCGGGUAGUC
RNAcentral lists this ribosomal RNA (464 nucleotides) under uncultured Methylobacter sp. RNAcentral describes it as "bacterial SSU rRNA". It matches the Rfam family "Bacterial small subunit ribosomal RNA", at positions 338 to 795 of the family's 1533-position model. The record is from RNAcentral. Lineage: Bacteria; Pseudomonadati; Pseudomonadota; Gammaproteobacteria; Methylococcales; Methylococcaceae.